GGCUUUGAGGUGUAAACAUACAAGAUUGCAAAUCUUGAGAAGACGGUUAGACCCGUCCGGAGCUU
This 65-nucleotide transfer RNA is filed under the name Sladenia gardineri. RNAcentral describes it as "tRNA-Cys". It matches the Rfam family "tRNA". From Rfam's summary of the family: Transfer RNA (tRNA) molecules are approximately 80 nucleotides in length. The record is from RNAcentral. Lineage: Eukaryota; Metazoa; Chordata; Actinopteri; Lophiiformes; Lophiidae.